UCACUAUGUGCACCAUCAGGGGCGGUAAUUCGUUGGGUGCAAGCGUAUCCAGAAUUUUUGGGCGUAAACGCGCGUAGGCGGUUUAUUAAUUCUGAUGUAAAAAUCCACGGCUCAACCGGGGAAGGUCAUUGGAAUCUGGGAACCUGAGUGCAGAAGAGGGAGAGUGGAAUUCCAUGUGUAGCGGUGAAAUGCGCAGAGAUAUGGAGGAACACCAGUGCCGAAGGCGGCUCUCUGGUCUGUAACUGACGCUGAUGUGCGAAAGCGUGGGGAUCAAACAGGAUUAGAUASCCUGGUAGUCCACGCCGUAAACGAUGAGUGGUAAGUGUUAGGGGGUUUCCGCCCCUUAGUGCUGCAGCUAACGCAUUAAGCACUCCGCCUGGGGAGUACGACCGCAAGGUUGAAACUCAAAGGAAUUGACGGGGACCCGCACAAGCGGUGGAGCAUGUGGUUUAAUUCGAAGCAACGCGAAGAACCUUACCAAAUCUUGACAUCCUUUGAUCGCUCUAGAGAUAGAGUUUUCCCCUUCGGGGGACAAAGUGACAGGUGGUGCAUGGUUGUCGUCAGCUCGUGUCGUGAGAUGUUGGGUUAAGUCCCGCAACGAGCGCAACCCUUAAGCUUAGUUGCCAUCAUUAAGUUGGGCACUCUAGGUUGACUGCCGGUGACAAACCGGAGGAAGGUGGGGAUGACGUCAAAUCAUCAUGCCCCUUAUGAUUUGGGCUACACACGUGCUACAAUGGAUAAUACAAAGGGCAGCGAAACCGCGAGGUCAAGCAAAUCCCAUAAAAUUAUUCUCAGUUCGGAUUGUAGUCUGCAACUCGACUACAUGAAGCUGGAAUCGCUAGUAAUCGUAGAUCAGCAUGCUACGGUGAAUACGUUCCCGGGUCUUGUACACACCGCCCGUCACACCACGAGAGUUUGUAACACCCGAAGCCGGUGGAGUAACCUUUUAUUAGGAGCUAGCCGUCGAAAGGGGUC
RNAcentral lists this ribosomal RNA (975 nucleotides) under Macrococcoides caseolyticum. RNAcentral's name for it is "bacterial SSU rRNA". It matches the Rfam family "Bacterial small subunit ribosomal RNA", at positions 498 to 1466 of the family's 1533-position model. The record is from RNAcentral. Lineage: Bacteria; Bacillati; Bacillota; Bacilli; Caryophanales; Staphylococcaceae.